Long non-coding RNA from Otolemur garnettii (small-eared galago), 98 nucleotides. RefSeq lists it as uncharacterized. Lineage: Eukaryota; Metazoa; Chordata; Mammalia; Primates; Galagidae. The record is from RefSeq and is a predicted model, not a curated record. The transcript has 3 exons.
AGGAAACUGAGGCUUGGUGAAGUUACGAAACUUGUCCAAAAUCACACAGCUUGUAAAGGGCACAACCAACAUUCAGAGCCAGAUUGUAAAAGUUAAAA